RNAcentral lists this unclassified non-coding RNA (200 nucleotides) under Russula sp. RNAcentral describes it as "partial internal transcribed spacer 2". Lineage: Eukaryota; Fungi; Basidiomycota; Agaricomycetes; Russulales; Russulaceae. The record is from RNAcentral.
UUAAGUUCAGCGGGUAGUCUCACCCGAUUUGAGGUCAAGGUUGUGGGUCAAGUGGCAAUCACUUGACCAUUGUCUUCUAUGAGACGGUUAGAAGCAGGAACGGUGCGAAACCCAAGACGUAGAAAAUAUCUUAUCACGUCAAGGAUCAGCAAAGCAGACCCCACUAAUUCAUUUCAGAGGAGCUGGCUUCAACAAAGAAA